UACGAGGGGUGCAAGCGUUAUUCGGAUUUAUUGGGCGUAAAGGGUGCGUAGACGGUUUGUUAAGUCUGUUGUUAAAUUCCCCGACUUAAUCGGGGGCAGGCAAUGGAAACUGGCGAACUGGAGUAUGGGAGAGAGAAGUGGAAUUCCCGGAGUAGCGGUAAAAUGCACAGAUCUCGGGAGGAACACCAAUGGCGAAGGCAGCUUCUUGGCCCAUAACUGACGUUGAGGCACGAAAGCGUGGGGAGCAAACAGG
This 253-nucleotide ribosomal RNA is filed under the name uncultured bacterium. Its description in RNAcentral is "partial 16S ribosomal RNA". It matches the Rfam family "Bacterial small subunit ribosomal RNA", at positions 524 to 776 of the family's 1533-position model. The record is from RNAcentral.